AUCCUUCGGUUCAUUGAAAUGAUGAUCGGUGAUUUCACGGACUGUCCGUGACAGGUGCGACCCUCACUUGUUACGCAUCGUGCCUCAGCCUUUCUGACU
RNAcentral lists this small nucleolar RNA (99 nucleotides) under Gouania willdenowi (blunt-snouted clingfish). Its description in RNAcentral is "Small nucleolar RNA U13 (ENSGWIG00000011945.1)". It matches the Rfam family "Small nucleolar RNA U13". Lineage: Eukaryota; Metazoa; Chordata; Actinopteri; Blenniiformes; Gobiesocidae. The record is from Rfam by way of RNAcentral.